AGAGAUUGUUUUAGGAAAGAGAAUACCCAUUCAAGGGGGAAUGUGGGCUAUUUCAAGAGAAAGAUGCCUUUUUCGGGUAAGGAAAGGAAUUACACAUUCAAGAGAGAUUUGUAGGCUGGGUCAAGAGUGAAAAACAGCCUGUUUUUUUGUUUCUAAGUUGUCUUUUAAGAACUCUACCACUGUACUGAAGAUUUCAUGUCAUCUGAUGAACUUAUUGGAGAGAUCACCUGGCUGAAAAUAACCCCCAAAGUUCCAAGAUAUCAUAAGAAGAGGCACCCUAAUCUCAACCUGAAAACAUCUGUGAUAGUCAUCAGAAAUUAUGGCCCAAGGUCACUUAACAUGAUAAUUCCUCCUAAGUCAGAGACACAGCUUACCAUCCAUGUUGAUGCCAGUGAGUUUUGAAAUGUUCAUAGGGAAACAUCAGGGAACAGUGAACUGGAUUCCAUUCUGCCUCAAGCCUCAUCAACCAGAUGGUUGGCUGUAUCAAAGCCAGUAAUGCUGAUGUCAGAGGCGAGAGAACACAGCUGGAUUUUCAGGUUCAAGGGGAAAGAGGGAAUCUAUAAUGCUUAAAGUUUGGGAGGAAAUUGCCUUUGGACUAGUAGAUAGAGCCAACUAGAACUGAUGGAGAGUUUUAAAUGUUAAGUCCUACAGCAACAUUUCUGUGUAAUUGCUUUUUGGGCCAUGGUAGGAUUUGAAUCUUCUUUUUCUCACACCUGCUAACAGGCCUACUGGUGCCAGUUAGAGAGCUAUUGUGUACCAGAUCUAGAGGAGAUUUCAGCACUGACAUAUUAAACUCCCACCAACUCUUGGCUA
Non-coding RNA from Ictidomys tridecemlineatus (thirteen-lined ground squirrel), 813 nucleotides. NCBI's taxonomy places the organism in Eukaryota, Metazoa, Chordata, Mammalia, Rodentia, Sciuridae. The record is from RefSeq and is a predicted model, not a curated record.